UUCCCUGUCGUUCAACGGUUGAGCGCCGCAUCGUUAUUGCGGAUAUCCAGGUUCGAAUCCUGGCGGGGGAG
Molecule: transfer RNA, 71 nt
Filed under: Actinomadura syzygii
Lineage: Bacteria; Bacillati; Actinomycetota; Actinomycetes; Streptosporangiales; Thermomonosporaceae
Description: tRNA-Asn
Rfam family: tRNA
About the family: Transfer RNA (tRNA) molecules are approximately 80 nucleotides in length.
Source: RNAcentral